RNAcentral lists this long non-coding RNA (6150 nucleotides) under Fragaria vesca (wild strawberry). RNAcentral's name for it is "long non-coding RNA (FVES_LNC003744)". Lineage: Eukaryota; Viridiplantae; Streptophyta; Magnoliopsida; Rosales; Rosaceae. The record is from RNAcentral.
CUACUUUGACUCGCUCUGGCUAAGGUUCCCACCCGUACAACGCCUUUACUUCUAUGAAUCAACAUCUUCUUCUUCCACUACUACUACCGAUUCUCUACUUGCCUAUCUCAAAACCUCGCUCUCUCUCACUCUCAAACACUUCGGACCUCUCGCCGGAAACCUAACUUGGCCUCAGGACUCCCCCAGACCCGUUCUCAGCUAUGUCGAAGGCGACGCCGUUUCGCUCACAGUAGCCGAAUCGACCGAUGCUGAUAAUUUCGACCACCUUUCGAGCAACAGCGUCUUUGUCGAAUCCAGAGCUUACCAUCCACUUGUUCCCCAAUUGGAGUCGUCUCACGAACGAGCUGCAGCCAUUGCCUUGCAAAUAACCCUAUUUCCUGGCCGUGGCUUUGCCAUCGGAACAGCCAUGCACCAUGCCAUCCUUGACGGCAAAACAUCAAUCUCGUUUGUUAAGUCGUGGGCUCAUGCAUGCAGCAAACAAGUCGAAAAUGGCGUAUCCGAUAUUGGAUCAGAUGUCUCGUUACCGGAGAAGUUGAAGCCGUUAUAUGACAGAACGGUCAUCCAUAACCCGACCGGGCUCGGACUCGAAUCCAUCUACUUGAAGGAAUGGCAAAACAUGGAUGGCCCCAACAACAGAAGCCUAAAGAUUUGGGAGUUGAAAGCUCCACCAGAUGACUCAGUUCGAGGCAUCUUUGAGUUCACUCGCGGACAUAUACAAACCCUAAGGCAGAUGGUAGUUGAAAAAGUUUCUGAUCUUCAUUUGUCAACGUUUUCUUUAGUGUGUGCUUAUACUUGGGUUUGUUUAGUCAAGGCACAAGAAGUAGACGCCGGAAAAACUUCAUAUCAGGUAUUUAGUGUGGACUGUAGGUCUCGCUUGGACCCUCCGGUACCGGAAAACUAUUUCGGGAACUGCACGAGGGGUGUGCCGGUGUUUGCAGAGGCAAAUGAGUUAUUGGGUGAAGAUGGGUUGGUCGUGGCGGUCACAGCAAUUAGUGAAGCUAUAAAGGGUUUGGACAAGAAUGGGGUUUUGAAGGGGGCCGACGAGGUUUACGUUUCGAAAGUCAAGGACUAUUUUGGGGUUGAGGGAUUCUAUUCUACUGCUGGUUCUCACCGAUUUCAGAUAUAUGAUACCGACUUCGGAUGGGGUAGGCCGACGAAAGUUGAGGUGGUUUCUAUAGAUAGGACCGGAGCAUUUUCAGUGUCGGAUUCCAAGAAUGGUGGUGGAGGUGUAGAGGUCGGGGUGGUUCUGAAGAAACAUGUUAUGGAGGCUUUUGCUUCUCUAUUUGCUAAAGGUUUUGGAAAACACUGAGUGAGAGGAGUUGAGAAAAGCCCUAUUUGCAGUUGUGAAUUGUGAUCGAGCUAUAUAUGUCGUUGAUUACCUAAUAAUAUAGCUUUUAUUGAAGAAUAUGUGCCUUGGUUUCAAGGAGGUAAGUUUUACGUAGUGGUGUGUCCUUCUGCUACUUGAGUACUUGAUGGACUCGUUUCGAUCUACUUCGUAUAUGUACAAUUUAGUUUUAUCUCAAUAAAGAUUGUGGUUAUUCUAUUCAAAAAGCACACACGCAUAAAUCUGGGUUCGGAUUCAACAUGGGGUGAGGACGUGAGGUAUGUGAUAUAUGUAUGUCAUUUUAAUUUUCAUUUAUUUGUUUAUUCAAUUGAAUUUGCUGGUUCUAACUUAUAACUACUUGGUUAGCAUAUAUAUAUAUAUAAGAUAUGGAGACGAUACGAGAACUUUGAACGUGUAUAUAACUUCUAAAUUUUGCUAACACCCAGAUUUUGGGACAAGUCAAUGUAUAAUAUACUUACGUAGAAUGCAGCUAUGAAGUAGUAAUUUUAAAUUGAUAUUCAGUUCGUCACCAUUUAUGUAAUUUUGCUUACAAUGUCGUUCUGAACUACAAAGAUAUAGUAUUCAUCUAGAUUCAUAAGAUGAAAACAAAGAUUAAAAUAUCGGUAUCGGUGUAUCUAUUGGUACUUUGAAAAAAUGAGAUAUCUGAUAUAUCGGGGAUAUCCGGAAAAAAAUAUCGGAAUUUUGGAAAGAAAUUUUUUUUUCUGAAAUAUUUAAAUUAUUAAAUUUACAUAUAAAUAUUACAAACAUUAACUUUAUCUACAUCUAGAAUGAGAAUCUAGGUUGUUGAUAAGACACACGCUGGUCCACAAAAGUACAAUAAUCAGACUAAGACAUAUGACUCAUAUAGUAUGUGUAGUGUUGAAUAUGAUAAUCAUAUAUCUCUUUAGAGAAGCCGAUUGUUUCCCCUAUAAGUGGAUAGUAAGAAUGAAUUCAACUAGAUGACUGAUCACUCAUUUCUGCGCAUUGAUUAUAGCCAUAUUGAUUGUUGCCUUCUUAGGAUUGUUUGAGGUUCCAGUCCCACUACCUAAACUGAUAGACUCAAAAUUUAGCGCAACUGAAGCAACAUCUUGAUUAUCAUUUACACCUCUUGCGCUCCACACCUAGUACUCACUACCAGGACAAACACUUUAGUCGACGAAAAAGUUUCGUCGGCCUGUUAGCUUAAUUCGUCGGCUAAGAUUUCGUCAGGAAAAGGUCGUCGGCAAUGACUUUAGCCGACGAAACUAGAAGACGUCGUCGGCUUUAGUCCCAUAAUUUAGCCGACGAAAAAGAGAUCGUCGGCUUUUUUCCCAGAAUUUAGCCGACGAAUAUCUUAAAUGUUUCGUCGACCGUAGUCUGAGACUUUAGCCGACGAAACGUUUAAUAUAUUCGUCGGCUAAAGUAUGUAAUAAAAAAAUAACUAAAGCCGAUAAAAUAUAGUUUGUUUCGUCGGCUUUAGAAGGGUUUAGCCGACGAAACAUUCCAUAAUUCGUCGGCUAAACCUUAUAAAAAAAUUUAAAAAUACUAUAGCCGACGAAUUAUGACGUAUUUCGUCGGCUAUAAGUCCAUUCCAGUAAAAAAAAAAAACCCAAAAUUUCUAAAUUACCAUUCCAAACAAGCUGCAAAAUACACCAAAACAAUUCCAUAUAACCAACAACAAGCACAUAAAACUAUACAAAAUCUAGAUCGUCUAAAUUAAUAUCCGCUUUCGGGGGCUGCUGCGGAGGUUGCGGCGGCUGGGGUAGCGGUAUAGCCGGAGGCAUGGGCGGAGCCGGAAGUCCAUGAAGCUGGGCAGCUGUAAACUCCUGCAUAUACUGGAACAUCUGCUGCUGCUGGGCCUGCUGGAUGGCAUAUAUCUCUGCAACAUAGGCUACUUGCGCGGCAUUAUAGGCAACCUGAGCAGCUUGUUGUUCCCGUAGUCUCUGAACUUCCGACUCUAGCUGAGUCGUCCUGGUGGUUAUGGUCGUGGUCCUGCUGCUGGUCGAGGCUGCCUUUCGUUGAAAUCCUGGAGUGGUCUUCAGGACCCCCUCGCCCUUCUUUCCUAGACCCCUGCAAUAGAAGUUGUUUGCUCGCGGUGGGAAAGCUGUGCCCAUGAUCCUCACACCAACCGUCGGAUCUGAAGUGUCGAUCCGGAACAUGGCUUCGGACAUCUCUUCCUCCUGCGUGGCUGGCCAUGUCUCCCUCACUAUAGCACUCAUCACCUCGUCACUAGCCUCUCUCACCUUCGCCUAAUUGGAUAGGAAAAAAAUUAUUAAUUAACAUUUUAACAUAUAUAUAAGUAAAAUUAAAAAUUUAAAAACGUAAGAUGACUUACAAUAUCCUCCUGGCGUCAGGAUAUGCCUUCUUGUACGUAUAGACGUACCGGUUAACUUCUGGAUGUUCCCUGGCCGCCUCGUCCAUGAAGACAGCGAACGGUCUAGAACCGGCAUGAUGGUUCCUUGUGUUGCGUUGCCGGUUAUGAGUGUUUGCUCGGGAAACGGCCUUCAAAGAAAAAAAUAAACUAUUAGUAAAAUAUUUAAAAACGCACGUACUUAAUGACAAAUUAACUAAUUAAUUUUUUUAAAUACCUGUUUACGAGGGUUGUUAAAUUCUGAUGUCGGAAGCCAACGCCACUCGUACUCCAUGUACUGGAACUCAGCAGGGGUACCAGAACGUGUGUUCCCGUGCGUAGUCCAGUGGGUCCGCAACUCGUUCUUACACUCCUUGUACCUACAGAUACAACAAAAAUAUUAGAAAUAUUAUAAAUAUCACAUACAAUUUUGUUUUUUCAUUAACUUCCCAACGUACCUUCCCCCAUGCACAACUUCCGCCCAGCUGUUCUUCAGGUGCUCGGGAACCUCAAACCACACCUGUAUUUAACCGUUUAUUAGUUUAGUUUUUCGAGAAAUCAACAAUGUAAUACAUAAUAUUAUUGAGUCAUUUUGUAAACUCACCGACAUCGCGUUGUGGACCAUGUCCUUAACCUCCUGCAGGACCUCACCCUAGUCUGACCACAACAUAGGGACUCUAUCUCUGAUGAGCGCUCCCACGCGGCCGGAGUACGUCAUCGAUUUCCCGCCCGAUACUAUGUUGNNNNNNNNNNNNNNNNNNNNUAUAAGGUUCCAAUACUCCUUGGAACGGAUAAAGUUCUCCAUCAUCAAUGCCCAAUGAGCAUAAUGCCCAUCAAACUUUGGAAUUGCUACUGGCACAAAACUACCCUCAGCUGCCAUUCUCUCACUCUCUGCAAAGAAAUCUUAUUUCAAUGCUCCUUAGGUCAGGCCCCAGUGAUGGGGCUCUGAUACCAGAUGUUGAAAAACCAAAUCCUAGAAACAAAUAACUCUCAAGCUUUUGAUGGAUGAUUCUUAUUCAAUUCAAGAAACAACUACGGCUUAUAUAGCCAUUACAGAAGGAUAAGAAAUUCAAAACAAACCACAUCUUUACAACCCUAAGACUGUGGUCGACUCAACUAAAGAAUAGCUCAAACUCUAACUAGUAAAUAACAAGCUCCUCAUAACUAGGAGUUAUUAACAGAUACGAAGACCAAGCAAUCCUAUCAACUCAAACUACUUAACCAUCAUCCAAUUGAAAUGCAACGACCAAGUCUCCAACAGAUUCAUGCGAAUGGUAUAUACUUGUUUCUUGAUUUCAAAUGAAUCAAUAAUUGAUUCAUCACUCCCAGCUUUAUAUUUCCAUGGCUCUUGAAUUCCAAAACAUACAGUUGAGUAAGAGAAAGGGAAACUGAGAUGUCGAUCUACAUUCUCCCUCCUUUCAAAUCUAAUCUCUAUAAACCAAACCAGAAGCUUGAAUUGGCUUGAUUAUGAUGAUGAGCAAGUGAAUAUGGUUGGUCGGGAAAUUUGGUCUACUGGUAAAUAAAGAUAGCAGACCUGACUUUCAUUCUCUUUUUCAUGAGGAUGAACGACUGGGCUUCCUCAAUUUGUUUUGUUUGAAAAGGUUUCUUCUUCCUUUCAUAUGAACCAGGAUGUGAUCGAUGUUUAAUUGUUUAUGUUUGCAGACCCACUAACACUGUUAUCUCGAACGUUAAUGAUUGGGUGAUGUGUUAAAUAAAAAACCACGUGUCUUGUGCUUAUUGGCUGGGAGGAAGAUCCAUUCGGGGCCUAGCCUAUUAGUUAACAGCUUGUCUUUGUUCAUCAAUCACUUCAAGGUGCACGUACAAUUCAAUACGGUGUUAAAUUUGUUUGGUGGAACAGCCUGGAUCGAAUAAAUUCAACUUCAAUGGAUGAAUUAUUGAAAUAAAUUCAGACACCGACGUUUUGGUGUGUAUAUGGUCAGAUUCAAAAGCUAGCUAGCUGUAAGCAUACAUUGGGAUCUUCUUCUUCCCCAAUGGGGCAACCAAGCUCGGUGAAACUGGUGGAGAUUUGCAGGGUGGCUCCAAAACCAGGAGCACAAGUGGAUCUGUUGUCCCUUCCUCUCACUUACUUUGACUCGCUCUGGCUAAGGUUCCCACCCGUACAACGCCUUUAGUUCUAUGAAUCAACAUCUUCUUCUUCCACUACUACUACUGAUUCUCUAAUUGCCUAUCUCAAAACCUCGCUCUCUCUCACUCUCAAACACUUCGUACCUCUCGCCGGAAACCUAACUUGGCCUCAGGACUCCCCCAGACCCGUUCUCAGCUAUGUCGAAGGCGACGCCGUUUCGCUCACAGUAGCCGAAUCGACCGAUGCUGAUAAUUUCGACCACCUUUCGAGCAACAGCGUCUUUGUCGAAUCCAGAGCUUACCAUCCACUUGUUCCCCAAUUGGAGUCGUCUCACGAACGAGCUGCAGCCAUUGCCUUGCAAAUAACCCUAUUUCCUGGCCGUGGCUUUGCCAUCGGAACAGCCAUGCACCA